GGAAUUCCAGUGUACGUCAUUAGUAUGUGGGCCCAGUCAUCCUCCCUAUGGCACCCGAUCCGCAUGGAGUAGGGGGCCUUCGCACGUCAGCCCAGGAUAACACCCGACGCACGACAGGUCCAUGAUACAGCAUUCCAGGUACAAGAAUAUUCAUCAAAAACAUGUGUAUAUUAUUACAUCAGUGAUGAAUAUAAUCUUCUGGCAUAGCCCUAAGGCUAUUUACAUGGCAACAGAAGUCUAUUAAAAUGGUGGCGGAAGUCUUGGCAGCAUAUCACUCUGGAUGGGCUCCACAACUCACAAGACUGGCAAGAUUACGGCCUAGCAUGACGGAACAACGAACAAUACAUGCAUGACCUACAAAACUAGCAUGACACGCCAGGUCAGUACAUUGAAUGUACUUGCAAGACAACCAAAUACAUAGCAUCCAAACAAGCAGAAGACAAAGCAGGAACCAAGCGUAUGCAACAACCUAGCUCAUAUCAGAAACUAAGCAUGGCAUAAUAUCAACCGAAGACAUAAAUCAAACUAACCUCAUGGCAUCUACUAGUAUGGCAACAACAUGGCAUAGAAAAUUUAUUUCUAACAUGUCAACAGCAAAACAUAGCAUAUCAUCUCAAUCAUAUCAACCAAAGCAUGGCAUGGCAUCAUGAAACUAUGCUGAAAGUGAACUACCAAUCAUAUCAAAUGCAGACAUAGCAUGUUAACUGUAUGCAACCAUCUCAUGUUCUACCAUGGUUCUUUAAAUGCAAACAUAUUACUCAUGCAAUGCCACCAAACUUGUGCACUGAGUCCCUCGGACUCUCUUACCAACAGUGAUCACCUCAUUUCCUGAUCACAAACAGAGACAAACUCGUGAUCCUUAUGGCGAUCACAACCACAACCAAUACUAGCCCGUGAUCCUUACGGCGAUCACAACCACAUUAAUCAGCAUAAUUAUUUCAGGUUUAUCCUCCAUUUCGACCAAGACCCGACAGUGUACCCUACUACGAACUUCUGCCCAUGACCGAGGACGCGACUAUCGAUAGUUUAAAUACACUCUGCAGAGGUAGCGCACUGUACCCACACCACAGAACCCAUGGCCUCGUCAUCCCAUUCAGGUGGACCAACGGCGUUCCGACAAAACCGAUCUACUACGAUGACACUCUCCCGGCCACUCCGACUCACUCCCCUCUGGGCUAAGUCAUGGGUGGCCCUGUGUCUACCUAAAGACACCUCAAACCACCGUCGUGGCAAAACAUAAACGAUCCCCCACGGGGACAACAACGUGCAAAAUCCAACUAUUAGCACACAAGGCUUAUGUACGCCUACCUGAUCAGGGUAGCGCGCGCCCAUAACCUUCCCUCGUUGGAGGCACCGGCGAGAGGCACGACAAUAGACCGCAUUAGGGCCGUCCCAUACCGACAAAUGUGGUUGCACUAGAAAAGUUCGAUUUGGCGGCACUAUGACUCGAUCCCAUCGAUGACGGACGAGGUUUGUUAUCAUUAAGUCAUUUUAUUACCUUCUCCAUCAUCAUGAACAUGAAUGCAACAAUGAGCAUACAUCAUACAAAUGCUUUAAUAACAUAUCGAACUUCUCAAGUGAACAACUACAACAUAAAGAACAUAACAAUACCAAGUACUAACUUAUCCACGGUGUAUCAUAGCAUUUUAUAACGAUGACAUGAAAAUAAAGUAGAGUAGUGACAUGGCAUUAUAAAUAUCAACAUUCUAACUAUCAUGGCAAGAGAUAGCAUAAAACACAGGCAUGCAUGGUAAGCAUAACAGAAUAACUGCAGAUAAAAACGAUAAGCAAAAACUGCAACUACACACACAAGGUGCAAGCAAAGUCAACAUGCAAGUUCAGGGCUCAUGAUACGAGGUUGGCUUGCCUGGGGGUCAACAAAUACUCCGGGAAGAAGUGAGAAACGACCGCGCCGGAAAUAGUUCUCUCUCGGAGGGGGCUGUUUACGGACAAGGGCAAAGUGGUCAUUUUCAAUAUGUCAAACCAUAGUGAAAACGUUGGGAACGGAACAGGCUCGACGAGACGAAGACGUGGGCGUUGGAUUUACCUCAAUCGGAGUUACGGUUAAAAAGAUACGGACGUUUAAAACUUAGGGACUAAUCUGUAAAGAUACUUCUACAAACAGGUCCCUGGCAGUUUUAAACAGACGCGUCUUUUCUGAAAUACGCCUUCGAAUCAGGAAAACGGC
RNAcentral lists this long non-coding RNA (2188 nucleotides) under Triticum aestivum (bread wheat). Its description in RNAcentral is "long non-coding RNA (TAES_LNC022261)". Lineage: Eukaryota; Viridiplantae; Streptophyta; Magnoliopsida; Poales; Poaceae. The record is from RNAcentral.